Pseudophryne corroboree (corroboree frog) is the source of this 341-nucleotide long non-coding RNA. RefSeq lists it as uncharacterized. The record is from RefSeq and is a predicted model, not a curated record. NCBI's taxonomy places the organism in Eukaryota, Metazoa, Chordata, Amphibia, Anura, Myobatrachidae. The transcript has 3 exons.
UUUCCUAGCCUGUAUUAAGGAGUCCCAGCCACUUCCUGCACUCCAUGGCCUGUACUUCCUGGGUCCUGGUCUGGAUGCUGCUGCAGCUGAUGUGUGAGGGAACACAGAGCCUCCUGCAAUGCUGCAAACAGAGUAUUUGAUUUCAGCACAGUGAAAAAAGAAUGUGGCAGAAUUCCGGGAAAAACACAUGAACAAAAUAACACUGACAUCUAUUGGGAAUAGUACUGUAACCUGUGGUGAGCAAAGGGAUGAGGAGCGAGCAACCGUGUCCGAAGAGUGGCGAGCGAAGUGUUGGUACACGUCUGCACUAAUGGUGGUCACAUAACAUGAAAUAUUCAAGA